Molecule: ribosomal RNA, 408 nt
Filed under: uncultured bacterium
Lineage: Bacteria
Description: partial 16S ribosomal RNA
Rfam family: Bacterial small subunit ribosomal RNA
Source: RNAcentral
AGUGAACGCUGGCGGCAUGCCUAAUACAUGCAAGUCGAACGAAGUGGCGCACGGGUGAGUAAUAUAUAGAUAAGAUGCUCUCCAGAGGGGAACAACAGUUGGACACGACUGCUAAUACCUCAUAGUGCAGGAUGAGACUAUAACGUAUCAGCUGGUUGGUAAGGUAAUGGCUUCUCACGGCUAUGACGAGUAACUGGUGGGAGAGGAUGAGCAGUCACAUUGGAAGUGAGACAGGGGUCAAACUCCUACGGUAGGCAGCAAUAAGGAAUAGUGCCCAUUGGGGGAGACCCUGACAGAGCAACGCCUCGUAGAGGAUGACACUUUUCGGAGCGUAGACUCCUUUUAUCACGAAAGCGGUACCUGAUGAAUAAGCACCGGCUAACUCCGUGCCAGCAGCCGCGGUAAUAC